UACAUAGGGUGCAAGCGUUGUCCGGAUUUAUUGGGCGUAAAGAGCUCGUAGGCGGUUCGUUACGUCGGAUGUGAAAGUCUGGGGCUCAACCCCAGACCUGCAUUCGAUACGGGCGAACUAGAGUGUGGUAGGGGAGACUGGAAUUCCUGGUGUAGCGGUGGAAUGCGCAGAUAUGAGGAGGAACACCAAUGGAGAAGGCAGGUCUCUGGGCCAUUACUGACACUGAGGAGCGAGAGCGUGGGGAGCGAACAGG
Molecule: ribosomal RNA, 253 nt
Filed under: uncultured bacterium
Lineage: Bacteria
Description: partial 16S ribosomal RNA
Rfam family: Bacterial small subunit ribosomal RNA
Source: RNAcentral